AAGGAGUGGGAGAAGACUGUUAAAGACAGGAGUGUUUACUGCAAUCUUUGCUACUUAACGGGAAGGCGUGACCACAGUUUACCUUUUCUGGCCCCAGAGCAGAGAAGAGAAAAUAAGUUUGGUGAGAACCAAGCCGGAUUUGUACUGGCUGCCAGAGCUAACAUCAUGAACACCAGAAGAAAGGCCGGCCCUCUAACUAGCUUCCCUGCUCUCUGUUCAUGGAAAGCAGAGGCUGCAUCAAGAACUGAGUCCCUAGGAGGGAAUUCCAGCAAGGCAAGGUUACAGUAGGAGGCCGUGUUGAGAGGCAAGCGUUGGGGAGUAGGGUCUAUUUAUUUACUUAUCUUUAUUUUCAUACGUGUGAAUGUGUGAGUGUGUGUGAUGUACAUAUGAGGGUGCCCGUGGAGGCCAGAAGAGGGCAUCAGAUCCCUUGGAGCUUGAGUUGCAGGCAGGGUAGGUGGUAGGAACUAAGCUUGGUCCUCUGGAAGAGCAGCAAGUACUCUUUAUCACUGAAGCAUCUCGGCAGCCUCGGGAGGUAGAGUUCGCAUCUCAGAUUCAAGCACCAGUUUGGAGUCUAACUCUGAACUGGACAGGAGACUGUCUGUCUUCACGGUUCUGGUCACUGCCAUGUGCUCCAGAGAUCGUGUUUUCAAACUGAGUACGAACUCCUAGGAACCAAGACAGGGUGGCCUCUGGAAGCUGAGUGGUUCCCAGAGAUGGGCCCUGCCAUCAACCAUGGCACACUUGAAAGUCACUGAACCAGUGGGAGCCAAGGGUGAAGCCGAGAGCCUCCUGGUCCAUGCCUUCACAUCCAGGUAUUUAACAGACUGCAAUGGGCUGAGUUCCAACCCAGCACCCUCGGAGAAACAGACAAAAUGAUCCACACAGCCCCUCACUCUGGUCUUCCGUUUUUAUUUUAACUUUGGAAUUGGACCUGGACACCGUCCAAACACUAAGGCUUCUCUCUCCGCUGAGCCAGUUCACAUUCAGUAUUUACAUGGUCAUCAUAUUAAAACUGUAGUUUUUAAGGAACCCUGCAAGUAGCGUGGGUAUUCGUGGAUUUGCAUGGUGCUCGCGAGGCUGCGGCUCUGUAGCCUUUGGCUUUGCUGCUGGUUCGAUGAUAAAACCAUCACUUUUGUGUUUUUUCCUGAUUCUUCAGAUGGGACGUCAUAAAACUGCCAACUUUCUCUUUCUUAAAUAUGAGCCACAAAUCAUUCCUUAGCAGUGGAAUCAUUACCGAGGAACAGACAGUUGAGAGGUCUGUGUCACCAGCAUGAAGGAAGGUGGUGGGGAGACAUCCAGCCGUGCCCUAGAUCUGCUGUGAUAUAAACGGAGCACAAUACUGCUACAGUCUAAUAAUGAACUGUGACAGACAUCCCCACCAGCUCCAACAAAACAUUAACUGUCUUAUUUUUCUUUUUUCUUUUUUUCUCUGUGUAGCUCUGGCUGUCCUGGAACUCACUCUGUAGACCUGAAUGGUCUGGAACUCACAGAGAUCCACCUGUCUCUGCCUCUGGCCAAUUGCUGGGAUUAAAGGUGUGCUCCACCACCACCUGGGGCAUACUAACCAUCUUGAUAUCAGCAUCUUGUCCAUAAGAAUGUUGAGGAAGAAUGUCCACACUGUUCACACAAACACACACACAUGCACACACACACACACACACACACGAGAAAUGUAGCACUGGUAUCACCAACAAAUGUUUUCACUAAGCUGAUGAAACCAACGGUUAAAGAUGGCAGACCCCACCUCUUCUGUGGUUCUCUCUCCAUCUUUCGUACAUAGCAUCACUGUUACUUCAGAGCACUGAAGAAUUCUUUUUCCAUUUCUGCAUGAACCCCUCUGUGCACCUGUCUCCAGUCGGGUACCAAGUCUUAUCACAGGCUUUUGCUGAUGACCUACUGUGUGUUUGGGUACUUAUCCCUCACCACAGGCCUUUGCUGGUGACCUACUGUGUGUCCAGAUACUUACCCCUCAUUAUCAUGGGCCUUUGCUGCUGACCUACUGUGUGUCCAGGUACUUAUCCCUCAUUAUCACUGGCCUUUGCUGAUGACCUACUGUGUGUUCGGGUACUUAUCCCUCAUUAUCACUGGCCUUUGCUGAUGACCUACUGUGUGUUCGGGUACUUAUCCCUCAUUAUCACUGGCCUUUGCUGAUGACCUACUGUGUGUUCGGGUACUUAUCCCUCACCACAGGCCUUUGCUAGUGACCUACUGUGUGUCCAGAUACUUACCCCUCAUUAUCACGGGCCUUUGCUAGUGACCUACUGUGCGUCCUUCUCAGCUGUGCUCACAGCUACAGCCCAGAAAUCUGACUCAUGUUUUUUUUUAGUACAGGAGUGAUAUAGACAGUGAGGAGACUAAAACGCUUUUUAGGCUUCUGGUUUUUUCAGUGUUUGGUUUAUUGUUUGUCUGAUUUUUGUUUUUAAGUGGUGGCAGACAAUUGGGAGGUCCCUCCCAGAAAGCUCCACUGCCUCUGACUCGGUCACAAGGACAACAGGAGCAGCAACCUGGCUCGUGCAAAUGUGGUGUUGUCCUUGUGUCUCGUGAAGCCCGCUGCUUCACAGCACCAAGUGAUCUGUAGGGUUUCACUUAGCCUGCGCUAGGCAAGGGUCCCACUGUGUCCUUGAUGCCUUACUACUGUAUACCAUCCUUACCUAUUAACAUAACCACCCGGUACCUACCCACCUGUAGAGAAUGCGUAAUUACUGUUUUACCACCAACAGACGUGUAAAACCACAAGGGAGCAAAAGCUCACCAAAUAAAUGUCUCAUCACCCACAGUAUGUACACACGAGUGUUUGGUUAAUAUUACUAAGUUAGGCCAGGCUACCCAGCACUCAAGACGACACGCAGAGCUGCAGGAAAUUAUCUUUCAUGAACCAGCAGCUAGCUCCGUGACUUUGAGGUAGGGUUUGCCGCCAGCAUCAUCAGUGAUGAACAGCAUUCGUGCCGUGGACAUGUAAAAGCUGCUUCUGUGCCAGCUCUUAUAGAGGUCACGUGGAGGAGGAAAUGUAUUCACGCCAGCCCUCCUUUGCUCAGAGUGCUCUUUUCCCAUCCGGUCCCAGAGCCAAGUCAUGCACAUGGUGGUCUGAAGCCCUGCAGUGCACAGAUGCGGGCAGGAGAGAUGUGUACUCAUGCUUCUCACACCUCAUGAGAGAUCACACAGGCCACGCAGGGAC
This is a long non-coding RNA of Alexandromys fortis (reed vole), 3175 nucleotides long. RefSeq lists it as uncharacterized. The transcript has 3 exons. Lineage: Eukaryota; Metazoa; Chordata; Mammalia; Rodentia; Cricetidae. The record is from RefSeq and is a predicted model, not a curated record.